Molecule: long non-coding RNA, 1347 nt
Organism: Platichthys flesus (European flounder)
Lineage: Eukaryota; Metazoa; Chordata; Actinopteri; Pleuronectiformes; Pleuronectidae
Exons: 4
Source: RefSeq, a predicted model, not a curated record
AUAGACGGUAGACGCUGAUCAGGCGCAAGAAAUCCGCCCGCUAAUUUCUGGAAAAGUCGAAGACAGGAGACCUUGGCAAGAUGGCCUCUGGUCACUUAAGUGGAUUAUCUGCUCGAGCUGAGGAAGCUGCUCUUGCCAUUGUGCAGCUCCUGGUAAAUGAGCUGUCCUCGCCCUCCACAAGCACAGCUCCACCUCAGAGCACGCCAGUCAGGGCAGCAGAGUCCCCCGUCCCUAGUGCUGCAACAAGUGGCAAUAGGGUGAAGCAGGCCAUGACAAGGCAAUUCCCUGGCAUUUUUGGUACCAAUCAGCCAAGGGGGAAAAAGAGAUUCUGCACACCCAGCCCCCAGACUGUGAAGAAGACAGAUUUCAAUGUUUAUGUCCUCCCUGAGCCGACACAGUUAAGCCCAAACGGUUCUGAGGAAUUAUAACUUGCCCAUGCAGGCCUUGGGAAAAGAAUGAUAACCAUGGCAGAAAACUUAAAACACGAUGAGUCUCGGCCGCUGUGCCUGAAGAUGCCGCCGGCUCCUCCUCAGGAGAGGGUGACUCCUCCGAGGCUUCGGGCUCUGAGGGGGAGAAAAGAUUAGCGUUCAAAAAAGUGCCCUGGCUUUUAAAAACAGCAUUUACCAUGAGAUACCUACUUUUUUUUAACUUAACCUUAAUUUAUAGUUAAUAGAGAAUCUGUUUUUGAAGGCGUCAAAACCUAACCCUAACCCUGAAAUACAGUAAAACCCUGCUAGCGAUGUUCUGAUGUUCAGCAUCUUCUUCAGUUUUGACAAAACUAGAUAAUUAAAGGAGUCAUCAUGUUGUUUUCACCCGUCUGUUCGUUUUGCAAAUUACACAACAACUGGAAAGGUAGAGACUAGGUGGAACUAGGCAGAUUGGGUCAGAGAAGAACCAAUUAGAUUUAGCUGCAGAUCUGGAUCAGGGCCAGAAUUAUCUUUCAAUUGACCACCAACAAUGGAAAAAACAGAUUUAUGAUAAUUUUCUUUAUGGUCUGUAUAAUUAUACAGCUGCAAUCUGAAAAAUGUAACCCCCAAAGAUUUUAAGGAUUUAUCAAUUACAGUUUUUUCAAAGAGCAAGAAUCUGCUUCAGAUGACUUUUUUAUGAGUUGAGUGAUACAUAAAAUCAACAGAAAAUGCAUGAUGUAGUAUUUGUAUGUAACAGUAUAUUUAGUUAAGAGCCAUGUCACAAUUAUUCAACCCCUAUAUAAUAUUGUUGUUUUUAAAGCUGUCUGACAGAUUUUAUGGCCUAAAGUGGAAUUGAAACAUAAUUAGGCCUUAGGAACUCUAUAAUGAUACUUAAUUUGCUUCAGCUGUGAUGAAUUUUGUAUUUAAAAUAUAGAAAAUA